Ribosomal RNA from Lates calcarifer (barramundi perch), 120 nucleotides. The record is from Ensembl. NCBI's taxonomy places the organism in Eukaryota, Metazoa, Chordata, Actinopteri, Centropomidae.
GAUUAAAACUAAAAUUUAAAAAAGCGCGCCCGAUCUCAUCUGAUCUCGGAAACUAAGCAGGUUCGGGCCUGGUUAGUACUUGGAUGGAAGACCGCCUGGGAAUACCAGGUGCCGUAAGCU